UACGGAGGAUCCGAGCAUUAUCCGGAUUUAUUGGGUUUAAAGGGUGCGCAGGCGGGAGAUUAAGUCGGCGGUGAAAUUUUGCAGCUCAACUGUAAAAGUGCCUUCGAAACUGGUUUCCUUGAGUGUAGAUGAAGUAGGCGGAAUGCGUCGUGUAGCGGCGAAAUGCUUAGAUAUGACGCAGAACUCCGAUUGCGAAGGCAGCUUACUGGGAUGCAACUGACGCUGAGGCACGAAAGCGUGGGUAUCAAACAGGAUUAGA
RNAcentral lists this ribosomal RNA (259 nucleotides) under uncultured prokaryote. RNAcentral describes it as "partial 16S ribosomal RNA". It matches the Rfam family "Bacterial small subunit ribosomal RNA", at positions 524 to 782 of the family's 1533-position model. The record is from RNAcentral.